Molecule: non-coding RNA, 27 nt
Filed under: Mus musculus (house mouse)
Lineage: Eukaryota; Metazoa; Chordata; Mammalia; Rodentia; Muridae
Source: RNAcentral
UAGCUUACUGAUCACUAUGUGACAGAG